CAGUCGCCGCGGUAAUACGGAGGGGGCUAGCGUUGUUCGGAAUUACUGGGCGUAAAGCGUACGUAGGCGGCUUUGUAAGUUAGAGGUGAAAGCCCGGGGCUCAACCCCGGAAUUGCCUUUAAGACUGCAUCGCUUGAACGUCGGAGAGGUGAGUGGAAUUCCGAGUGUAGAGGUGAAAUUCGUAGAUAUUCGGAAGAACACCAGUGGCGAAGGCGGCCCACUGGACGACUGUUGACGCUGAGGUACGAAAGCGUGGGGAGCAAACAGGAUUAGAUACCCGCGUAGUCCCUGUCUCUUAUAC
RNAcentral lists this ribosomal RNA (301 nucleotides) under uncultured bacterium. RNAcentral's name for it is "partial 16S ribosomal RNA". It matches the Rfam family "Bacterial small subunit ribosomal RNA", at positions 509 to 807 of the family's 1533-position model. The record is from RNAcentral.